RNAcentral lists this ribosomal RNA (440 nucleotides) under uncultured bacterium. RNAcentral's name for it is "partial 16S ribosomal RNA". It matches the Rfam family "Bacterial small subunit ribosomal RNA", at positions 338 to 795 of the family's 1533-position model. The record is from RNAcentral.
CCUACGGGUGGCUGCAGUGGGGAAUAUUGCACAAUGGGGGAAACCCUGAUGCAGCGACGCCGCGUGAGUGAAGAAGUAUUUCGGUAUGUAAAGCUCUGUCAGCAGGGAAGAAAAUGACGGUACGUGACCAAGAAGCCCCGGCUAACUACGUGCCAGCCGCCGCGGUACUACGUAGGGGGCAAGCGUUAUCCGGAUUUACGGGGUGUAACGGGAGCGUAGACGGCAGGGCAAGUCUGGAGUGAAAGGCGGGGGCUCAACCCCCGGACUGCUCUGGAAACUGGCAGGCUGGAGUGCAGUAGAGGUAAGUGGAAUUCCUAGUGUAGCGGUGAAAUGCGUAGAUAUUAGGAGGAACACCAGUGGCGAAGGCAGGUUACUGGACUGUAACUGACGUUGAGGCGCGAAAGCAUGGGGAGCAAACAGGAUUAGAUACCCCUGUAGUC